AGCAGUAGCCACGGUAAUACGGAGGGAGCUAGCGUUGUUCGGAAUUACUGGGCGUAAAGCGCACGUAGGCGGUUAUUCAAGUCAGAGGUGAAAGCCCGGGGCUCAACCCCGGAACUGCCUUUGAAAUUAGAUGACUGGAAUCUUGGAGAGGUCAGUGGAAUUCCGAGUGUAGAGGUGAAAUUCGUAGAUAUUCGGAAGAACACCAGUGGCGAAGGCGACUGACUGGACAAGUAUUGACGCUGAGGUGCGAAAGCGUGGGGAGCAAACAGGAUUAGAUACCCCCGUAGUCCCUGUCUCUUAUAC
This 303-nucleotide ribosomal RNA is filed under the name uncultured bacterium. RNAcentral describes it as "partial 16S ribosomal RNA". It matches the Rfam family "Bacterial small subunit ribosomal RNA", at positions 507 to 807 of the family's 1533-position model. The record is from RNAcentral.